This 72-nucleotide transfer RNA is filed under the name Dallia pectoralis (Alaska blackfish). Its description in RNAcentral is "tRNA-OTHER". The record is from RNAcentral. Lineage: Eukaryota; Metazoa; Chordata; Actinopteri; Esociformes; Umbridae.
GUUGGUGUAUCUCACUGGUAGAGUGCAUGCUGUGUAUUUAUGAUGUCCUGGGUUCAAUCCCCAGCUUUUCCC